This 468-nucleotide ribosomal RNA is filed under the name uncultured bacterium. RNAcentral's name for it is "partial 16S ribosomal RNA". It matches the Rfam family "Bacterial small subunit ribosomal RNA", at positions 28 to 507 of the family's 1533-position model. The record is from RNAcentral.
GACGAACGCUGGCGGCGUGCUUAACACAUGCAAGUCGAACGGAAAGGCGCUGCUUUUGUGGGGUGCUCGAUUGGCGAACGGGUGAGUAACACGUGAGUAACCUGCCCUUGACUUUGUGAUAACUUCAGGAAACUGGGGCUAAUACCGGAUAGGAGCUCCUGCUGCAUGGUGGGGGUUGGAAAGUUUCGGCGGUUGGGGAUGGACUCGCAGCUUAUCAGCUUGUUGGUGGGGUAGUGGCUUACCAAGGCUUUGACGGGUAGCCGGCCUGGGAGGGUGACCGGCCACAUUGGGCCUGAGAUACGGCCCAGACUCCUACGGGAGGCAGCAGUGGGGAAUAUUGCACAAUGGGCGGAAGCCUGAUGCAGCAACGCCGCGUGCGGGAUGACGGCCUUCGGGUUGUAAACCGCUUUCGCCUGUGACGAAGCGUGAGUGACGGUAAUGGGUAAAGAAGCACCGGCUAACUACGUG